GGGUGGAAGUGUAAUAAUUUCAAAACGUAACACAUCUAAGCAUGUUCGGAAAUAUAAAUUUACUUAAAAAUAACUACUUUUGAGAUUAGCAAUGCAUGCUGUAAAACCAACCAAUGAAACCAGAUUUGAAGAUGAGAGCCAGGUGGAAUAAAUUUAUAUAUUUGAAUAUUUUUCACAUCCAAAAAGAAAAAGAAAUACAAGCAAGCAUUUGCCCUUAGAAUUAUGAUGGACAAUUAAGUGCUAUGCUCGACCUUAACUCGAACAAACAAAAUGAGUGGUUGAGUACAACUACAGCUCCAAAGCUAAAGAGAACAUUUGUUCCUCAAGAAGAAGUAUUGAACAUUGAGUGUCGCAACAAAUUACCUCGUAAAAUCUGGAAUUCAUCCAUACAAUGCACGCCAUGGCUCUUCUGCAUCCCUUGUAGUUUCGGUUGGUUUCCAUGCCAUUUUUUCCUUUGCAAAAUUAAGAGAAGAAAUGCUUGCCAAACGCUCUCCUAUUGCAUAUAUUACCUGAUGAAAAGUCUCGUAAACAUAAAAAAGUAAACAAGUACAUACAGAAACUACAAGCGAUAAAAGUUACUCUCUUUUUUUGGAUUUUCAGUUCAAUAUUACUUUUUUGAUAAGUAAAAAACAGCAAUUCACAAAAGACAUAAGUUUACUUUAUUUUAAGCCAACCAAACAUGCUGAAACAUAGAGUGGGGUGAUGAGAAGAAGAAAGUAGAAUGCAGUAAUACUGAAUAAUGUCAUGUCAAUCUCGUAUCUAAUGAAUUUUGAAGGCUAUCGUGAUAAGAUUAUUAUAUGUAUUGAACCAAGAUAAUCCCACCACCUACUAGCCUCACAAUAGGUAAAAAACAGAUUAAAUC
Molecule: long non-coding RNA, 862 nt
Filed under: Olea europaea (common olive)
Lineage: Eukaryota; Viridiplantae; Streptophyta; Magnoliopsida; Lamiales; Oleaceae
Description: long non-coding RNA (OEUR_LNC013235)
Source: RNAcentral